This is a long non-coding RNA of Manis javanica (Malayan pangolin), 5582 nucleotides long. RefSeq lists it as uncharacterized. NCBI's taxonomy places the organism in Eukaryota, Metazoa, Chordata, Mammalia, Pholidota, Manidae. The record is from RefSeq and is a predicted model, not a curated record.
GGAGCUGACUCCAUGUUUUUUCCCAAUGUAGAGAUCGCUGGAGAUGGCGAGCUCCGAGACUCCCUCUAUCUUCUGUUUUCAGAGCAACUCUAUGCCCGGGGACAGAAACCAAGAUCCGAGAGGUGAUUCUGCGCCUACUUGGGAGACUCUCUCGGGAACAGAACUCAGCCCCAUCGGCGGCCAGCCUGGAGAGAGGCAGAUCCGAUGAUCCACGUUGGGGAAUCGCAGAUGAGGAAACAAAAAUGCCUCUCUUGUUCAAGACCACCCAGUCAAUACAUGGGGUGAUGUGGGAGCUUCAGCUUAGCUGAAUUCAAGACCCAGCUCUGCCGCAUACUAACAGUGUGGUUGGGAGGCACUGAGCUGGAUGUAAGGGAAACAGAGGCAAAAUGAUUGUGUCUGACAGAGAAGGUAAGAUAUGCAUGCGAAAAUGAAGUGGUAUUCAGUAAUGAGGCUUCAACUGCCCUGAAGACUACCAUCAAAGGCGUGAAUAAUCUUCCUCAGGGGAUGGAACUAGAAGGGUCCUGCCUUCAGCAGCUUAGGUUCCCUUUGUUAGCUUCUGGGUUAACAAACCAAGACUGCCGGGCUUCAAUCAGAGAGAGCAUUUGACAAGAGACAAAAGCCAGACAACCUAAGGAACAGGAUCCUGCAUCUCAGCAUUUCCAACCUGAAACACCUAAGCUUCACCUGGGUGAGGUGAGGUGAUGUAUUGGACUCAGUGUCCUUCACAGAACCAUCAUGAUCCCACUGAUAAUGAGCUCACUGAUCUCUUUGGCUGGGUUUGAAAAACACAGGGUAAAGAAGGCUUGAUUGUAAGCUCCUUGAGGGCAGGGACCCUGUCUCUCUUGUUCACCUGUGCAUUCUCAGGGCCAAGCACCGUUUCCAACACAUGAUAAAUGCAUUAUUUAUUGACUGAAAGAGUGAAUGGAUGAGGUAUAGUUAAAAAGGAAGAAGAAAAACUGUGACUACAUCAAGAAAAGGAGCACAAUUUAUUGAGUAUUUGUUAGAGGCUAGGUGCUUUCUCAUGUCUCAUGGCUACUUCAUAAACUAGGCUCCUCCACGUUGCCAUGAGCAAUUUACUGAACUCUGAAGUUCCAUCUCCCCAUAUAUCAAAUUGUUGUGAGGACCUUUUUGCUUUUUCGAUCACUUAUAUCACAGCAGAGUUGGUGAGGGUCAGAUAACACACAUGGAAGUGACUUGGAGAUUCUUAGAGGAGCCUCUCCAAUAGAACCAUAUCUGUGUCAUCCAAUAUGAUUGCCAUUAGCCAUGCGUGGCUGCUGGGCACUCAAGAUAUGGCUAAUGUGACUGAGGAACUAGACUAUUUUUUCCUUUUAAGUAAACUUUAUUUUUUAGAGCAGUUUUAGGCUCAGCAUUCCUAUAUACCUCCUGCCCCCACACACCACUGCCUCCCCCACCAGACUGGAGUAUUUGUUACAAUUGAUGAAUCUACACUGAUACAUUACACCCCACAGCCCACGGCUUACAUUAUGGUUCACUCUUGGUAUUGUAUUUUCUACGGUUUUGGACAAAUGUAUAAUGACAUGUGUCUACCAUUAUAGAUAGUGCUGUAGUUUCACUGUCUGAAAAUCCUCUGUGGUCCACCUCUUCAUCUCUCUCUCCUCCAACCAACCACUGAUCAUUUCACUGUCUGCAUAGUUUUUGCCUUUUCCAGAACAUCACACAGUACAUAGCUUUUUCAGACAGGUGUCUUUCCCUUAGCAAUAUACGUAUAAAGUUCCUCCAUGUAGUUUCAUGGCUAAAUAGCUGAUACCUUUUGAGCACCAAAUGAUAUUCCAUUGUCUGGAUAUAACCCAGUUUAUCCAUUCCCACACUGAAGGACAUCUUGGUUGAUUUCAAGUUUUGGCUAUUAUGAAUAAAGCUGCCAUCAACAUUAGGGUUUUGUGUGGCCAUAAGUUUUCAGCUCUUUUGGGUAAAUACCAAGGAUUUACCAACUGCUGGAUUAUGUGGUAAGAGAAUGUUGAGCUUUGUAACUACCAAACCAUCUCCUAAAGUGGCUGCACCAUUUGGCAUUCCCACCAGCAAUGAAUGAAUGUUCUGUUGUUCCACAUCCUCACCAGCCUUGGUGUUGGCAUUCUGAAUUUUGGCCAUUCUAAUAGGUUUGUACUGGUAUGUCACUGUUGUCUUAAUUUAUAUUUCCCUGAUGACAUACGAUGUGAAGUGACUUUUCAUAUACUUGGCAUCUAUAUAUCUUCUUUGGUGAGGUUCAAGUCUUUUGCCCGUUUCUUAAUUGGGUUGUUUGUUUUCUUAUUGUUGAUUUUUAUUUUGAUUGAUUUGUAUACUUUGGAUAAUAGCCCUUAAUCAAAUAUAUCUGUUGCAAGUAUUUUUUUUCACAGUCUAUGGCUUGUCAUCUCAUUCUUGACACUAUCUUUCUCAGAGCACAAUUUUUUUAUUUUAAUGAAGCCCAGCUUAUCAAUUCUUUCUUUCAUGGAUCAAGCCUGUGAUGUUGUAUCUAAAAUGGCAUUCCCAUGCUAAAGGCCAUCUAGAUUUUCUUCUGUGUUAUCUUUCAGGUGUUGUAUAGUUUUGUGUUUAGGUAUAUGAUCCAUUUUGCAUUAAUUUUUGUGAAAGCUUGUAAGCUCUGUGUUUAUGUUCAUUUUCUUUUUUGCAUGUAAAUGUGUAGCUGUGUCAGCAUCACUUAUUGCAAAAAACUAUCUUUGCCCCAUUGUAUUGCCUUUUCUCCCUUGUCAAAGAGCAGUUGACUAUAUUUAUGUGGGUCUAUUUCUGGGCUCUCUGUUCUGAUCAUUGAUCCUUUUUGUCUGCUCCUUCACCAAUACCUCUGUGUCCUGAUUACUGUAAUUUGGAACUGGAUUUUUAAUUUUAUUUAACCUCAAUUAAUUUGGAUUUAAAUAGCUACUCCUAGCUAGUCCUUACCAUAUUGGACAGUGCAGGCUCUUCAUUUCAAGCUUUAAUCUUCUGAACUUCUGAGCUACCCUCACAUGGAUACUCCCUGAGAUUUUAGAUUCUGUAUUUAUUUCGUACCUGCUAGGGAAAGAUGCUGUAAGGGAUUCUAAGAUGAAUCAAGUAGAUUGUACAUCUUCUAUGAGAUGCUAAGACAAGUCCAUAUUAUCCUGUACUUUAAGAUACUAAGUAUUAAAUGUCAUAGGACAAGUUCAGGUGAAGUGCUACGGAGGAAGGAGCCAAUGUUCCUUGUUAGAGAAAUCAAGGGAGGCUCCCCAGAAAAGUUGUUUUUCCUGAAGUCAGGACUAAAGAUAUGUAUUUGGUAAUUGCUUAUGGUAACAGAUGGACUCUUUGCAAAGAGCUGAGGUCACACACUCCAUUUAUGUUCUUUAGGUCAGCCUAUUUGUAGUGUUACACAUGGACAUUAUUCCACUGAGGAAAUAUACCAUAAUCUUCCCUAAUCAAGGCAAUGUCCCCGCUAGAAUAUAAUUCAACUUACAUACUUCUCACCCUAGUCAGUGGUUCUCAAAGUGUGGUCCCCAGACCAGCAGCAUCAGCAGGGAACAUAUUAGAAAUACAAAUUGUCAUACCAGAGUCAGUACUCUGGGGGUGAGACCUUGCAGUCUAUGUUACAAAAAGUCAUCUUGUGAUCUUAGUGCAUACUCAAGUUUGAGGACCAUUGUCUAGAUUCAAGACCAUCUGAUUUAUAAAUGCCCAUAUAUGAACAAUUAUGAAUCCUAAAGGAGAAUUCUUCUUAUGAGAGAAAAGAUGCAUGCCUCUGUGUGCCUAACUUGGCCCAGAUCUCCAGCAUAACCACAGAUUUCUCAGCACCAAGUAAGGAACCCUAUGGUAACGAAGUCUGUACCUGUCUCAUUAUUGUGGUGGUAGUUUUAUAGAGAGAAGGUUUUUUUCUCUUUGUCCAGGAAAACUUGGAAAUGUUUUCCAAUGUUAAAAUUAAAAAUAAGGAAAAAAGAAAAAGUUAAAAAAAAAAAGCUGUCAAACUAGCCUGGGUCUCUGAUGAUUCAGAAUUCCAGUUCUGCCCUGGGAAAGAGAUAUUGAAAUGGAGAGCCUGUGUGAAACUGAGUAAGCAAUCAGCAGGAAUUAUUUUCUGCUUAACAGAUCAGAAGGGUGAAAAAGACAGUAGCACUGUUCCAAAAAGCUACAUCCUAGUAGAUAUUAUGGGUCAAGCUUUCCUUUAGAAAUAGCUCUGAGUUGUCCCCCUCUGCCAUGCCAGAAGCAAUGUAGUUGGCCAUCUCACUAAAUACCCACCUAAAUACCUUUUGUCUCCUUCAGGUAUGUCAGUUACUUAUUAUUAUAACAGUACUGCCUAACAAACAGUCCCCAAACUCAGUGGCUUAUAGCAACAAGCAUUUCUUUCUCAUUCUUACAUCUGCAGUCAGAAGGAUUCAGGGGAGCUUGGCUCCAGGGGCUGAUGGGGCUUUGGUCUGCUUUGCACAUCUCUUCUUGGGGCUAUGAUUGACUGAGGCCUGUUCUGCUCAUGGCAAAAGGCAGGCGUGCAAGACAGCAAGUUCAUCAACCAAGCUCAUGCCAAGCCUGUGCAUGCAUCACAGUUGCUAACAUCCCAUUGGCCAUAACAAGUCACAUGGCUAAAUCCAAAUCAAGGAGUGGGGGAGCACUGUCUGUCCACCAAGAGCCUAGGGCAAGGGUGUGACUGGGCAGUGCUACUACAGGAGAGUGAACAAUUUAGGCCAAUAAUCCAAUCAUCAGAGAUGGUUAUUCUGUGCAUCAGAGGUUCUCAAGCUUGGCUGCACAUUGUAAUCAUGCGGGAGUUUAAAAAAGUACUGAUGCCUGGGUCCCACCCCUAGAGAUUCUGGUUUAAUUGGUCUGGGUGCAGCCCAGGCUCAGAGUGGUAGAAGCUCCCCAGGUGAUUCUAAUGAACAGCCACGUGGGAGAGCCACUGAUGCUAAACCACAUGCUGUUCAUUACACAAACACGAAAUUCUGACCACAGCUUUGGGGAGGUCCCUUUCCUCUUCAUUUUGGGAACUCCCUAUCUUUUAAGACCUUCUACAGUUAAAGCACAUUACUGUCAGGUGCAAUUUCAGUUCCCUCUAGUGAGCAGCCUCAGGUCAAAUUCAUAAAGAGGUACCGACAGAGAUUUGCGUAGUGUUGAAUUCUAAUGAAUUGCUGGUGAUUCUGUUUGUUACUUGUCUAUGGUUAAAGUGAAAAACACUGGUGUGGGUGCUAAUUGCUAAAUGUCUACAUUCCUGAAGAACUUGUGAGAGGAGUAUAGGAUUCUGCUGUGUUAUUUAGAAGUGAAGAUUUACCAUCUCAAGGCACAGGACACUUGCACAGACGAGGUACAUAUUCAUUUUGGUUUCAUUUAUUUUCAUGUUUGCUAUACAUUUGUACACUGGGAAAUGUCUUUUUCUUGGUGUUUUCUGUCAUUCAAAGUUCUGGAAAUACAUAGAACUGAUAAAGAACUUCAAAACUGUUGUUAUCAAUAUCUGUUCUAAGGUAUUUGUUUUGUGCUACACAUUUUGAAAAAGGGAUACUUGGGGUUAAUUAAAAUCAAUGACUUUAGUCUUUUGUAAACCAUGCUUCUUCUCAGCAGAGUUUUUGCCACUAAGGAGCUCACAUUUUUUUAAUGAAUCCAGCAUAUUUUUUAAUCUUAAAACUCCCAUUUCAUUUAUUCCAUCACUAAUUUUA